AGAGUUUAAUCAUGGCUCAGGACGAACGCUGGCGGCGUGCUUAACACAUGCAAGUCGUGGGCGGUCGCAAGACCGACCGGCGAACGGGUGCGUAACACGUGAGCGACCUACCGAUCUGUGGGGGAUAGCCGGCCUAACGGCCGAGUAAUACCGCAUAUACCGCGCGGGCUGCAUGGCCUGUGUGGGAAACCUCCGGGGCAGAUCGAGGGGCUCGCGGCCUAUCAGCUAGUUGGCGGGGUAAUGGCCCACCAAGGCGACGACGGGUAGCUGGUCUGAGAGGAUGGCCAGCCACAUUGGGACUGAGAAACGGCCCAGACUCCUACGGGAGGCAGCAGUGGGGAAUAUUGCGCAAUGGCCGAAAGGCUGACGCAGCGACGCCGCGUGUGGGAUGAAGCCCUUCGGGGUGUAAACCACUGUUGCCCGGGAAGAACGGGCGGAUUUUUCCGCCGUGACGGUACCGGGUGAGGAAGCACCGGCUAACUCCGUGCCAGCAGCCGCGGUAAUACGGAGGGUGCGAGCGUUGUCCGGAAUCACUGGGCGUAAAGGGCGCGUAGGCGGCCGAGUAAGGGGGCGGUGAAAGCCCGGGGCUCAACCCCGGGUCUGCCGGACCGACUGCUUGGCCGGAGCACACUAGAGGCGGGUGGAACUCCGGGUGUAGCGGUGGAAUGCGUAGAGAUCCGGAGGAACACCGGUGGCGAANGCGGCCCGCUGGGGUGUGGCUGACGCUGANGCGCGACAGCGUGGGGAGCAAACAGGAUUAGAUACCCUGGNAGUCCACGCCGUAAACGAUGGGCACUAGGUGCUUGGGGGAGCGACCCCCUGAGUGCCGGCGCUAACGCAUUAAGUGCCCCGNCUGGGGAGUACGGCCGCANGNUGAAACUCNAGGAAUUGACGGGGGCCNNCACNAGCGGNNGAGCAUGNGGUUUAAUCGACGCACGC
This 939-nucleotide ribosomal RNA is filed under the name uncultured bacterium. Its description in RNAcentral is "bacterial SSU rRNA". It matches the Rfam family "Bacterial small subunit ribosomal RNA", at positions 8 to 962 of the family's 1533-position model. The record is from RNAcentral.